UUCCGGUUGAUCCUGCCGGAGACGACCGCUAUCAGGUUACGACUAAGCCAUGCGAGGCGCGAGGUGUAAGACCUCGCCGCACUGCUGAGUAACACGUAGUUAACCUGCCCUGAGGUGGGGGAUAAUCUCGCGAAAGUGAGGCUAAUACCCCAUAGCCAAAGGAUACUGGAAUGUUCCUUUGGCAAAACCUACGGGGCCUCAGGAUGGGACUGCGGCGUAUCAGAUUGUUGUCAGGGUAAACACCUGACAAGUCUAUAACGCGUAGGGGCUAUGAGAGUAGGAGCCUCCAGAUGCCCUCUGAGACAUGAGGGCAGGGCCUACGGGUCGCAGCAGGCGCGAAAACUUUCCAAUGCAUUAGCGUGUGAGAAGGGUAGCUUGAGUGGUGCAGCUUAGCUGCACCUUUUGCCAUGUCUAGAGAGCAUGGCGAAUAAGGAGUGGGCAAUACGGGUGCCAGCCGCCGCGGUAAUACCCGAACUCCGAGUGGCCGUCUCGAUUAUUGGGCCUAGAGCGUCCGUAGCCGGCUCGGCAAGUCCCUGGUGAAAUCCGGCAGCUAACUGUCGGGCGUGCUGGGGAUACUACCGGGCUUGGGAACGGGAAAAGUGGGAGGUAUUCGGCGUGUAGGGGUUAAAUCCUUUAAUCCGCCGAGGACCACCUGUGGCGAAGGCGUCCCACUGGAACGUGUCCGACGGUGAGGGACGAAAGCUGGGGGAGCGAUUGGGAUUAGAUACCCCAGUAGUCCCAGCUGUAAACAAUGCCCGUUUGGUGUCGCAUGACUCAAGAGGUCUUGCGGUGCCGGAGCGUAGGUGUUAAACGGGCCGCCUGGGGAGUACGGUCGCAAGACUGAAACUUAAGGGAAUUGGCGGGAGAGCACACAAUGGGUGGAGGCUGCGGUUCAAUUGGAUUAAACGCCGGACAUCUUACCAGGGCCGACAGCAGGAUGAAGGUCAGCCUAACGGGUUUACCAGACAAGCUGAGAGGAGUUGCAUGGCCAUCGUCAGCUCGUACCUUGAGGCGUGCGGUUAAGUCCGUUAACGAGCGAGACCCACGCUGCCAGUUGCCACACCGUUCUGUUUCCAGAAAUGGGGCCAGUGCGGUAGCACUCUGGCAGGACCGCCUCCGAUAAGGAGGAGGAAGGAGUGGGCGACGGUAGGUCCGUAUGGCCCGGAUGCCCUGGGCUACACGCGGCCUACAAUGCGCAGGACAAUGCGAUGCAACGCCGAAAGGCGAAGCCAAUCGCCCAAACCUGCGCCCAGUUCAGAUUGAGGGCUGAAACUCGCCCUCAUGAAGCCGGAAUCCAUAGUAAGCGGGCGUCAUAAUCGCUCGCUGAAUAAGUCCCUGCUCUUUGCACACACCGCCCGUC
RNAcentral lists this ribosomal RNA (1360 nucleotides) under uncultured archaeon. RNAcentral's name for it is "bacterial SSU rRNA". It matches the Rfam family "Archaeal small subunit ribosomal RNA". The record is from RNAcentral.